RNAcentral lists this ribosomal RNA (390 nucleotides) under uncultured bacterium. Its description in RNAcentral is "bacterial SSU rRNA". It matches the Rfam family "Bacterial small subunit ribosomal RNA", at positions 29 to 418 of the family's 1533-position model. The record is from RNAcentral.
AUUGAACGCUGGCGGCAUGCUUUACACAUGCAAGUCGAACGGCAGCACGGGUGCUUGCACCUGGUGGCGAGUGGCGAACGGGUGAGUAAUGCAUCGGAACGUGCCCAUGAGUGGGGGAUAGCCCGGCGAAAGCCGGAUUAAUACCGCAUACGCCCUUAGGGGGAAAGCGGGGGAUCUUCGGACCUCGCGCUAUUGGAGCGGCCGAUGUCGGAUUAGCUAGUAGGUGAGGUAAAGGCUCACCUAGGCGACGAUCCGUAGCUGGUCUGAGAGGAUGAUCAGCCACACUGGGACUGAGACACGGCCCAGACUCCUACGGGAGGCAGCAGUGGGGAAUUUCGGACAAUGGGCGCAAGCCUGAUCCAGCCAUGCCGCGUGAGUGAAGAAGGCCUC